RNAcentral lists this ribosomal RNA (253 nucleotides) under uncultured bacterium. RNAcentral's name for it is "partial 16S ribosomal RNA". It matches the Rfam family "Bacterial small subunit ribosomal RNA", at positions 524 to 776 of the family's 1533-position model. The record is from RNAcentral.
GACAGAGGUGCCGAGCGUUAGGCGGAAUCACUGGGCUUAAAGCGUGUGUAGGCGGAUGCCUAAGUACCUUGUGAAAUCCCACGGCUCAACCGUGGAACUGCUCGGUAUACUGGGCGUCUUGAGCCACUUAGGGGCAACCGGAACAAACGGUGGAGCGGUGAAAUGCGUAGAUAUCGUUUGGAACGCCAAUGGUGAAAACAAGUAGCUGGGGAUGUGCCGACGCUGAGACACGAAAGCCAGGGGAGCGAACGGG